Molecule: transfer RNA, 88 nt
Filed under: Alphaproteobacteria bacterium
Lineage: Bacteria; Pseudomonadati; Pseudomonadota; Alphaproteobacteria
Description: tRNA-Ser
Rfam family: tRNA
About the family: Transfer RNA (tRNA) molecules are approximately 80 nucleotides in length. Their secondary structure includes four short double-helical elements and three loops (D, anti-codon, and T loops). Further hydrogen bonds mediate the characteristic L-shaped molecular structure. tRNAs have two regions of fundamental functional importance: the anti-codon, which is responsible for specific mRNA codon recognition, and the 3' end, to which the tRNAs corresponding amino acid is attached (by aminoacyl-tRNA synthetases). tRNAs cope with the degeneracy of the genetic code in two manners: having more than one tRNA (with a specific anti-codon) for a particular amino acid; and 'wobble' base-pairing, i.e. permitting non-standard base-pairing at the 3rd anti-codon position.
Source: RNAcentral
GGAGAGUUGGCAGAGUGGUUUAAUGCAGCGGUCUUGAAAACCGUCGUGGGGCGACCCACCCGGGGUUCGAAUCCCUGACUCUCCGCCA